This 84-nucleotide ribosomal RNA is filed under the name Anaerolineae bacterium. Lineage: Bacteria; Bacillati; Chloroflexota; Anaerolineae. The record is from RNAcentral.
CCCAUCCCGAACCCGGCAGUUAAGCCCGCCAGCGCCGAUGGUACUGGGGGGGCGACCCCCUGGGAGAGUAGGUCAUCGCCAAGG